AUUCCCUGUAGCUCUCAAAGCAAAUUUUGAGCUCAUUUUUCUUUUUCUGCAAGCUCAGCAGCAGAAUGCCCAGACAAUUCCCUGUAGCUCUCAAAGCAAAUUUUGAGCUCAUUUUUCUUUUUCUGCAAGCUCAGCAGCAGAAUGCCCAGAGUCUUCCCUGGUAGAUGCAGAAUGCCCAGAGUCUUCCCUGGUAGAUGCAGGUUCCAUAGCGACGUUCUCCUGCAAUGCACGCUGGUAUUCUGCAAUAGCAGUCCAUGUUUUUCCUUGAGCCUGGGACAGGGAGAGCAUGAGAAAUUGAGUAUGGAGUUA
RNAcentral lists this long non-coding RNA (309 nucleotides) under Homo sapiens (human). RNAcentral's name for it is "HSALNT0344819". The record is from RNAcentral. Lineage: Eukaryota; Metazoa; Chordata; Mammalia; Primates; Hominidae.